Non-coding RNA from Pteropus alecto (black flying fox), 119 nucleotides. NCBI's taxonomy places the organism in Eukaryota, Metazoa, Chordata, Mammalia, Chiroptera, Pteropodidae. The record is from Rfam.
GUCUAUGGCCAUGCCACCCUGAACAAGCCUUAUCCCGUCUGAUCUCGGAAGCUAAGAAGGGUCGGGCCUGGUUAGUACUUGGAUGGGAGACCGCCUAGGAAGACCAGGUGCUGUAGGCA